GACGAACGCUGGCGGCGUGCUUAACACAUGCAAGUCGAACGAUGAUGCUGGAGCUUGCUCCAGUUGAUUAGUGGCGAACGGGUGAGUAACACGUGAGCAAUCUGCCCUUGACUCUGGGAUAACUGCGGGAAACUGUAGCUAAUACCGGAUACUUUCACCGGAAGGCAUCUUCUGGUGAUGAAAGAAUUUCGGACAGGGAGGGGCUCGCGGCCUAUCAGCUUGUUGGUGAGGUAACGGCUCACCAAGGCGACGACGGGUAGCCGGCCUGAGAGGAUGACCGGCCACACUGGGACUGAGACACGGCCCAGACUCCUACGGGAGGCAGCAGUGGGGAAUAUUGCACAAUGGGCGCAAGCCUGAUGCAGCAACGCCGCGUGAGGGAUGAAGGCCUUCGGGUUGUAAACCUCUUUUAGCAGGGAAGAAGCGAAAGUGACGGUACCUGCAGAAAAAGCACCGGCUAACUACGUGCCAGCCGCCGCGGUAA
Molecule: ribosomal RNA, 484 nt
Filed under: uncultured bacterium
Lineage: Bacteria
Description: partial 16S ribosomal RNA
Rfam family: Bacterial small subunit ribosomal RNA
Source: RNAcentral